GACGAACGCUGGCGGCGUGCUUAACACAUGCAAGUCGAACGAUGAACCCGGAGCUUGCUCUGGGGGAUUAGUGGCGAACGGGUGAGUAACACGUGAGUAACCUGCCCUGGACUCUGGGAUAAGCGUUGGAAACGACGUCUAAUACCGGAUAGGACCUUGGAUCGCAUGAUCUGGGGCGGAAAGUUUUUUCGGUCUGGGAUGGACUCGCGGCCUAUCAGCUUGUUGGUGAGGUAAUGGCUCACCAAGGCGUCGACGGGUAGCCGGCCUGAGAGGGUGACCGGCCACACUGGGACUGAGACACGGCCCAGACUCCUACGGGAGGCAGCAGUGGGGAAUAUUGCACAAUGGGCGAAAGCCUGAUGCAGCAACGCCGCGUGCGGGAUGACGGCCUUCGGGUUGUAAACCGCUUUUAGUAGGGAAGAAGGGCUUCGGCUUGACGGUACCUGCAGAAAAAGGACCGGCUAACUACGUG
This 472-nucleotide ribosomal RNA is filed under the name uncultured bacterium. Its description in RNAcentral is "partial 16S ribosomal RNA". It matches the Rfam family "Bacterial small subunit ribosomal RNA", at positions 28 to 507 of the family's 1533-position model. The record is from RNAcentral.